RNAcentral lists this ribosomal RNA (873 nucleotides) under uncultured eukaryote. RNAcentral describes it as "SSU rRNA". It matches the Rfam family "Eukaryotic small subunit ribosomal RNA", at positions 570 to 1462 of the family's 1831-position model. The record is from RNAcentral.
GCAGCCGCGGUAAUUCCAGCUCCAAUAGCGUAUACUAAAGUUGUUGCGGUUAAAAAGCUCGUAGUUGGAUCUUGGAAUGUGUUCAAGCGGGUCAGCUUCUGGCUGUGCGCUGCUUGACGUGUUCUUCUAUUUGGUUUUGGUGCGGUGCGCUUAACUGCGUGUCGCUCCCGGCCGAAACGUUUACCUUGAAAAAAUUAGAGUGUUCAAAGCAGACCUGUUUGAGUCUGAAUAUUCGUGCAUGGAAUAAUGAAAUAUGAAUUCGGUUCUAUUUUGUUGGUUUUCGGAACUCGAGUUAAUGAUCAAGAGGGACAGACGGGGGCAUUCGUACUCUGCCGUUAGAGGUGAAAUUCUUGGAUCGGCGGAAGACGCGCAACUGCGAAAGCAUUUGCCAAGAAUGUUUUCUUUAAUCAAGAACGAUAGUCGGAGGUUCGAAGACGAUCAGAUACCGUCCUAGUUUCGACUGUAAACUAUGCCAGCUAACGAUCAGACAGAGUUCUCUACGACUUGUCUGGCAGUUUCCGGGAAACCAAAGCGUUUGGGUUCCGGGGGAAGUAUGGUUGCAAAGCUGAAACUUAAAGGAAUUGACGGAAGGGCACCACCAGGAGUGGAGCCUGCGGCUUAAUUUGACUCAACACGGGGAAACUCACCCGGCCCGGACACAGUGAGGAUUGACAGAUUGAGAGUUCUUUCUUGAUUCUGUGGGUGGUGGUGCAUGGCCGUUCUUAGUUGGUGGAGCGAUUUGUCUGGUUAAUUCCGAUAACGAACGAGACUCUGGCAUGUUAAAUAGUCGCGGAAGUGCGUAUGCACUUGCCGAAUUGACUUCUUAGAGGGACUAGUGAUUUUAAUUCACACGAGAUUGAGCAAUAACAGGUC